Macaca mulatta (Rhesus monkey) is the source of this 2618-nucleotide non-coding RNA. NCBI's taxonomy places the organism in Eukaryota, Metazoa, Chordata, Mammalia, Primates, Cercopithecidae. The record is from RefSeq and is a predicted model, not a curated record.
UUUCAGAUCUGGCAACUUUUCAACAAAGCCACCGAAGACACAGUGUCCACUUCCCAGUUGGUGGCGCCACCAAACGCCCGGUUCCUCAAGCCAGUGAGCAGGCGGCAUCCUCAGGCCCUCCCUCGUCUUCCAGCUGCCAUGGAAUCCAUUCAAUUGAAAAUGCACCCCUGUCUGUCCACUCCUCUCCACACCCUGCUGCUAUCCCCAAAUCUGCACUUCUGUCCUCACCUGGGUCAUUACAACAGCCCCCAUGGGCCCUCCUGCUCCCACUCCUCUUCCCACGCCUGAAAUCUACUCUCUGCACACACCCAGAGUGAGCUCCUGAAAAUGACCACAUGACCCUGAGUGGAUGUUUCAGCGACUCCCACUGCACUGGGAACAGCAGACUCCACCUCCUCAUCACCUCCUACAAGGCCCAGCAGAAUCUUGCUGGUUCCCCAGAUCACAUCCUGCUACCUCCCGUCAUUCUCCCAUCCCAGCCACACUGGCCUCCAGCUCCUCCUCCUACUCCCCAGUCCUCCUGCCCUGGGGCCUGUGCAUCUGCUGCUCCUGUGUCCUGGAAUGCUCUUCCCACAGUCGCCCUGUGACCUGCGCCCUCUUGACCUUUGUUCUUCACCCAGGUGUCAUGCACUCAGAGAACGCCCCUGACCUUCCCAAGGAAGUCCUCUGCACUCCAACACCAUGUCCCUGUGACCUGCACAAAACUGUCACCAUCUGGAAUUGAUUCCCUCUCUUCCUGUGGUGCUAUUGUCAUUUGCACCCACAGGAAUGUCACAUGCAUGAAGAGUGGAAUUUCAUCUGUCUGUUUGCUGCUGGAUCCCUGCUGUAAGUAAGAAAAGGGUCUGUGGCAGAGUGAGCUCUGGAUGAGGAUUUGCUGAGGAAUUGAAUGCGGGAAAGACUCAGAGAAUGGAAUGCUGAGAAUUCUACAAUAAAUGUUUGAAUCCUAGAGUACUGGAGUCAGGAGAAGCCCUUGGAAGCCAUUUAGACAAACCCAUUCAUUUGCAAAGGGGUAAACUUAGGCUGAGGAGGAAAAAGUGACUUGCUCCACAUCCCAAGGCCCGAGGGUCUUCUCCCCGCUCUGAUGGGAGAUGGACCCGCUUUGUGCUGUUGUGUGUAUGAGGGUGAUGUGUGGCUAGGGGUGAAAGGGCUGCUUCUGCCCUUUGACUCAUUGCCUAGGAAAAUAGGGACAAAAGUCACAAAUGUUUCAAAAUGCAAACAACUAAAGACAACGUCGUUCAGUAGAGACAGAGUGGGUGUUUGGGUUGACAGAGGAACAGAAAAGCUGCCCUGAGGAUGAGGAGGGAAGAGGGGGCUUGAGAGUGGGUGAGGCUCAAAUGUGACCUUCAACUCCUGGGAGGCGGUAGGCAAGGACACGGCCAAGGCAAAACCCUCAAGAGUGUAAUUCACCAACAGAAGCAUUCAGUGAGCACCCUCGGGGCCUGAAGGUCUUUCCAAAGGAGUGUUUGGUGUCUCAGCCUGAAAGAAGCAGUAAUGGUAGGAUUGAAGGCACACAGCAAUCCAGGAAGAAGGCAAUGGUACGUAGAGCCCUGAAAUCACACCAGAUGGCCCGUUACUCCUUAGUCUCUAGAUUCAGCUGGUUCUGCAAGAAGAGUUAUCAGGCUAUCAGUUUUCUCCUUUAUUUCUCUUGCAAGCAUCCUUCUGUACCUUUAAGACACAGCAUCUAAGUAGCUUUGAUGCUACUUAGGCCUACAAUGGAGAAAUUAAGAAAACAUUAAAACCAGAACCACUGGAACAUGAUGAUGUGCGGCUUAAAGGUUACCCAGGAGGGGCUGACCUCAAUUAGGACGUUGAUGCUGGAUUUGGUGCUCUGGUUUUCCUCUACUUUAAAAACGGUUGGAUCCCUGAUCUGCCAAGAUGCCAGGGAGAUGGAGAAACAUUUACGUGCAUGGAGGAAAAAAUAUCUUUUUGGUUACAAAGUGAGAAUCACAGUUAUUCUACCACCAUUAAGCCAGAAAACCAUUGUCUAAAAUGGAGAUUUUUUUUUCUUUUUUAAUGUGUAAAUGAACUUCUUGGUUGGUUUAAAGGGACAAAGGUUCCUAUCAGCCUUCAGAGCUGGUCAUUCAUCAGUGGACUGGUAAAUGCAGAACGGGGUUCGAGUCUGUGUAUUCUUUAGUGGAACAGUGGGUAAUGUCCUUUUGACUCACGAAUCAGUUUCCUUCAUUCUUCUGGGCUAGUGACCCACUUCCUCCGGCUUCCCUUAGCUGCACCUGGUGUUUCUGUGGGAAAGGCUUUCACACUGACAUUCUGGUUUGAUAGUGAAUGUUGAUGAACACCAGGCCUGCUUAUGCACAAGAGCUUCUGACCUGAGAUCAGAGCAGGAAACAGAAUUUUAAAGAAAUGUCUCAAGAGUCAUAGAAGGCGGGAGCCAAGAAGUGAUCACUAUUGACCUCAAGCUCAAAGAUCCAUGGGAGGUAGCAAAACUCAACAGGAUGAGUGGUGAAUCCCUGGGUCCUUGGUCAAAGGUCCUGAAGUCAAAUCAGAAGAGAAAAAGCAAAUUUGUCCAUGUGAGAAAUUUAUUUCAAAAAGGCAGAUCCAAAAAUUUGACUUGACAAAGCGUGGUGGGUUUUGUAAAUAAAAAUAAAUGGUUAUAAAGAGGA